GGUUGUGGCUCAGUGGUAGAGCACUCACCUAGCACAUGCAAGGCCCUGGGUUCAAACCUCAGCACCA
Molecule: transfer RNA, 67 nt
Filed under: Marmota monax (woodchuck)
Lineage: Eukaryota; Metazoa; Chordata; Mammalia; Rodentia; Sciuridae
Description: tRNA.Ala
Source: RNAcentral